CGGUUCUACAAGUCUUCCGUUAAAUCCACCUGCUCAACAGAUGGGCUGCGGAAGAUACUAUGGAGCUAGGAGGCGGGAGAGGCAAACGGUACUCAGUGGGUAGGGGUAAAAUCCUUUGAUCUACUGAAGACCACCAGUGGCGAAGGCGGUUUGCCAGAACGCGCUCGACGGUGAGGGAUGAAAGCUGGGGGAGCAAACCGGAUUAGAUACCCGGGUAGUCCCAGCUGUAAACGACGCAGACUCGGUGAUGAAUUGGCUUCAUGCCAAUUCAGUGCCGCAGGGAAGCCGUUAAGUUUGCCGCCUGGGGA
This 308-nucleotide ribosomal RNA is filed under the name uncultured archaeon. Its description in RNAcentral is "bacterial SSU rRNA". It matches the Rfam family "Archaeal small subunit ribosomal RNA", at positions 526 to 834 of the family's 1478-position model. The record is from RNAcentral.